UGAGGAAUAUUGGUCAAUGGGCGAGAGCCUGAACCAGCCAAGUCGCUUGAAGGAAGACAGUCCUAAGGAUUGUAAACUUCUUUUAUACGGGAAUAACGGGCGAUACGAGUAUUGCAUUGAAUGUACCGUAAGAAUAAGCAUCGGCUACCUCCGUGCCAGCAGCCGCGGUAAUACGGAGGAUGCGAGCGUUAUCCGGAUUUAUUGGGUUUAAAGGGUGCGUAGGUUGUUCGGUAAGUCAGCGGUGAAACCUGAGCGCUCAACGUUCAGCCUGCCGUUGAAAGUGCCGGGCUUGAGUUCAGUGGCGGCAGGCGGAAUUCGGGGUGUAGCGGUGAAAUGCAUAGAUAUCACGAGGAACUCCGAUUGCGGAGGCAGCUUGCCAUACUGCGACUGACACUGAAGCACGAAGGCGUGGGUAUCAAACAGG
Molecule: ribosomal RNA, 424 nt
Filed under: Fusobacteriota bacterium
Lineage: Bacteria; Fusobacteriati; Fusobacteriota
Description: Fusobacteria bacterium partial 16S ribosomal RNA
Rfam family: Bacterial small subunit ribosomal RNA
Source: RNAcentral